GCCUCAAGAUGAGACUUCGUUAUAGGGUGGUUGAAGACUACGACCUUGAUAGGCUACAGGUGUAAAGGCAGUAAUGUCAAAGCCGAGUAGUACUAAUAACCCGAAAGCUUUCCGUA
RNAcentral lists this ribosomal RNA (116 nucleotides) under Bacteroidales bacterium. RNAcentral describes it as "partial 23S ribosomal RNA". It matches the Rfam family "Bacterial large subunit ribosomal RNA", at positions 2796 to 2925 of the family's 2925-position model. The record is from RNAcentral. Lineage: Bacteria; Pseudomonadati; Bacteroidota; Bacteroidia; Bacteroidales.